CAGCAAACCAGAGGAAAGGCAUUUAUUUUUUUAUUUUUUUAUUUUUUUCUUUUCUCUUGUUUUUCUCCGUCUUCUCCGAUUCUCAGCCAGACCAAUCCGAUUCUCCGCCAGACCAAGAUCGUGUUUGACGGUCCGAUGAAGAUCAUGUCUGCAAUCGCUGCGAUUUGUGGUGUGGACUAAGUCGGCUUUUGAGCAGGAUCUAUGGACCGUUUGAGAAGCCGUCGGAGAAGGAGAAGGGGUAUGUGCUUCCCAGGGCUGAUGGUGAAAAUGGUGAAAACUGUCACGUGAGCAGACUUGGAAGAAGAGCUUCGUCUGCUGGCAUCUUACAGAGGCCAAACAGUGACCAAAACUGUGCGAGGCAUGAUGUAUUACCGAAAGGCUUUGGAGCUUCAGGCCUUCCUUGAUAUGGCAAAGGAUGAAGGUGCCUCACGAAACUUUGUUAUGAUUACUUCUAAAACAUCUGUACAAAUUCCUGAAUCUGCUUUCCCCAAAAGAGAGGUAAGCCUUCAUCCAACCAAAAACACAGUUAUUGUAAAAUGUUUAUAUAUUAAUUACCUAAAAAUGUUUAUAUAUGAAUGAUUAAAGAAUAUUGAAAAAAUGGAACAUGUUCAUGAUGUUCAAUAUGCAAUUUGAUGAGUUGCAUCAGAGACAAUCACAAUGGACAGUUCCAGACACAGAGCUAAGAGAGUCACUAAGACUUGCUGUUGCUGAAGUAUUAUUGCCUGCUUAUAGAUCAUUCCUCAAACGCUUUGGGCCUCUGGUUGAGAGUGGUAAGAAUUCUCAGAGAUACAUAAAGUAUACAGCUGAAGAUCUCGAGAGAUUGCUGGAUGAGUUGUUUGAAGGAAAGUCUAUGAACGAACCACGACGGUAAAAUCAAACUAUCAAAGCUCAUUUUGUAAGGUAAAUUUCUGUCAAGCUACUUCACUUCUGUCUCCGUUGUAUAUGAAGUGUCAACAAUUUGUGUUUGUUUGUUUGUAUUUUUCUUAGUGAUGAGUGUGUAAAUUACUUGGAAACGAGUUAUUUCUCUUUUGUAUAACGUUUACGUAUCAAGCUUUGAGCUAAAACCUGAUCUCUGUCAGAAAGUAUCACGCUUUGAGCUUGAUGAUUCUCUAGUUCAUUGUGUUCUUCCCAGAUUUUAGAAGAUGGAGCAAUUCAAAGAGAGGAAGUUCGCAGAGAAUGUGGUAAAGGUGUCACUUCUUCUAAAGCUCUUUGUGGUCACAUGGCUUGUCACUUUGAGAGAGAGAAGAUGGUGUCAUGUUCUCAUUUUUUUCAGGUCAAGAAGAGUGUAAAGUCAUCAGUCAUCAGUCAUUAGUCACUAGUCACGGACUUGUGUAGUAAUCACUUGUGCAAUGCUUACGUACUAACUCUUGUAGUCUUGUAUUCUUGCAAACUCUUGUAGUCACCAGUCACAGACUUGUAAAGUUUUGUGUCUAUAUAAACUUGUGAACUCUUGUAGUCUUGUGAACUCUUGCAGUCUUGUCUAUAUAAACUUUGUAUACCAAA
Molecule: RNA transcript, 1503 nt
Organism: Brassica napus (rape)
Lineage: Eukaryota; Viridiplantae; Streptophyta; Magnoliopsida; Brassicales; Brassicaceae
Gene name: exocyst complex component EXO70A1-like
Exons: 4
Source: RefSeq, a predicted model, not a curated record